Coturnix japonica (Japanese quail) is the source of this 1711-nucleotide non-coding RNA. The record is from RefSeq and is a predicted model, not a curated record. NCBI's taxonomy places the organism in Eukaryota, Metazoa, Chordata, Aves, Galliformes, Phasianidae.
AGACCAAGUGAUCUCAGCUUCUUCUCACACCCUUUGUCUUCCAGACCCUCCCCCAUCUUUGUAGGCUCCACCAGCUGCUCUCUGACAAUUUUAUGUCCUACACUGAGGCACCCAACCUAAACUCGGUGCUGGAAGUGGGGCCACACCAGGCUGAGCAGCCACCAGCAGCGCUGGGCCUGCUGUGCCCUAGGGUCCGGUUGGCCCUUUAGACUCCAGGGCACGGUGCUGCCUCAGAUUCAACUUGCAGGCAGACAGAAACCCCAGCUCCUUUACCUGGGGCUGUGCUCCGGCCUCCCGUCCCCCAGACUGUACCCAGAGCCAGAGCUGCCCCAUCCCAGGUGCAGAACCAGCGCCUGCUUUUCUUCAUGCACAUGGAAACAACCCUCGAGUUUGUCAGAUCCAGGCAUGAGGCCUCUCUAUCCUCAGGAGAGUCAACACUACUCCCAGUGUAGCAUCAUCCACAAAUGUAACAUAACGUACAGAUCUUUAUUGGAGUCAUCGAUGAAAACAUUCAAGAGAACUGAUUUGAAAACAGGACCCUGCAAAAUCCCACUGAGUGGCAGCUAGGGCAACUCUCAGCCCAAAGCCUCCCAUUGCCCGGCACAGACAUGUUUUGGUCAUGGUGGGACAUUCUUAUGGUCCCCGUGCCAUGCCAUACUGAUGUCACGAGGCACCUCCCUGACAACCAGCUGUGUUUACAGUGCCCGUUAACAGACCCUCAGUCUGUGAGCGACCUGCAUCUUGUGGCCUCCUGACCCAAGAAGCGAUUUAUCCAGUGCUCCUUUUCUCUCCUUCCCUCCCACCUUUCUGGAGGAGGAUGGCGGCUCCUCCUCCUCUAAAGAAGCUUAAGCUUCAGAGGAGCAGCAGCCAGAUUGAACCGAUGGAAAUUGAUCCACCUGAAGACGGCAUUUCGCCGAUGGAGGUGGAUCCCCCUCCGGAGGAACCGAUGGAGGUGGAUCCCCCUCCAUCAGGCCGGGGCCAGCGCUGUAACAUCACGCUUCCCCGGAGAAGUCGCUUUGUGCGAUGGAGGCGCACCAGGGGCUCUCGAUUUCCAUUUUGGCGUUGAAAUGUCACCAUCCGCCAGAGAGCCCCUGGGACGGCUGCUGCUCCACACCCCCUUCUUUCCCGAUUUCCCAUCUUUCCCCAGCACCUCUCCCUUCUUCUUUCCCAAACUCUGAGGAAAAGGAGAGGACUUGGACUGGUGUCCACUGGGUUGUGCUGGGGCAACAGAAGGAGCCUGGCAGACUGCCCCGAGUUCCCUGCAGCCUCCAGGUGAGCCCUGAAGAAAGCAGGACUGGGACCAGUGUCCAUUGAGCUGCUGUGGCUGGGAUAAAGGAAGGAGUCCAGGCCUCAAGAUCCUUGCAUCCUCCAGAAGCAUCCUGAGGAAGAGGACAGGACUGAGAAUGGUGUUCACUGAACUGCUGUGCUGGGGCAAGAGAAGUCCAGCGGAUGGCCCUGAGCUCCCUGCUGCCUCCAGGUGAUGCCUAAAGAAGAGGGCAGGACUAGGACUGGUGUCCACUGAACUGCUGUGUGGACAGCCCCGAGCUCCCUGCAGCCUCCAGGCAGUGUCAUGAGAAGCUACAGGGCAAGCUGUGCCUUUGGAGAAGCAGAAGACUUUGGUUUGGAUGGGAAGAAGGGCUCGAGUUCAGCAUGAAGGUCCAUUCCAGUUGCUCCGUUUGGACUCUUUUCAAAGUCAGGACAAUAAACAGUU